This 74-nucleotide transfer RNA is filed under the name Nilssonia formosa. Its description in RNAcentral is "tRNA-Thr". It matches the Rfam family "tRNA". Rfam says of the family: Transfer RNA (tRNA) molecules are approximately 80 nucleotides in length. Lineage: Eukaryota; Metazoa; Chordata; Testudines; Trionychidae. The record is from RNAcentral.
ACUCAAGUAGCUUAAAUACCUAAAGCAUUGGUCUUGUAAACCAAAGAAUGAAGACCACUAACCUUCCUAGAGUA